AUGGCUGUCGUCAGCUCGUGUCGUGAGAUGUGGGUUAAGUCCCGCAACGAGCGCAACCCUUGUCAUUAGUUGCCAUCAUUGGUUGGGCACUCUAAUGAGACUGCCGGUGACAAACCGGAGGAAGGUGGGGAUGACGUCAAGUCCUCAUGGCCUUUAUGACCAGGGCUACACACGUACUACAAUGGCCGGUACAAAGGGCAGCCACUUAGCGAUAAGGAGCCAAUCCCGUAAAGCCGGUCUCAGUCCGGAUUGGAGUCUGCAACUCGACUCCAUGAAGUUGGAAUCGCUAGUAAUCGCAGAUCAGCACGCUGCGGUGAAUACGUUCCCGGGCCUU
RNAcentral lists this ribosomal RNA (334 nucleotides) under uncultured Desulfocapsa sp. RNAcentral describes it as "bacterial SSU rRNA". It matches the Rfam family "Bacterial small subunit ribosomal RNA", at positions 1045 to 1382 of the family's 1533-position model. The record is from RNAcentral. Lineage: Bacteria; Pseudomonadati; Thermodesulfobacteriota; Desulfobulbia; Desulfobulbales; Desulfocapsaceae.